GGCUGCCUUUCACCCUUGAAAAUUCAGCCUCCGAGGCUCCAGGGAGGUGAGGGGUGAGUCAGCUCACAGAGACUCCAGACAGGCUCGGUGAAGAGGACACUGGAAAAACGUAGACAAUUGCAAUCUGCAGUCCUUCUCCAGAGCUCCAUGGCUGCCACCACUUUUUCUCUAAAAUUUAGCUCAAAGGCUUCACCACGCUUCUGCGGGAAGCCUCCCCGGCUCCCUUUCUGUGCUGAUUGAGCAAAAUAUGUGGAAAGCAAAUUUGAAGAUCCUAUUGGAACAAUGCAACAUUUGGAAAUCUUCUCCAAUAAAAUCUCCUCUUAUCUCUACAAUCAGAAUAAAUCCUUCAGCGUUGGGAAGACAAAAUCACUUCUCAUCUGUGCCUAAGCAUGGAAGUGCUCUUAAAGCACUUUUACCCUUCUCUCUUUUCUAGUUUUUAUCAUGGUUCUCCUAGUAUUCCAGGCUGGAAACUGUUAAUUAUAUUUAACUUUUCAGCCUCCUCUGUCUCCAUUAUAUAAUGAAUUACCAAGUUCAAUAAAUUUUUCUUGCUC
This 551-nucleotide long non-coding RNA is filed under the name Homo sapiens (human). RNAcentral describes it as "HSALNT0144502". Lineage: Eukaryota; Metazoa; Chordata; Mammalia; Primates; Hominidae. The record is from RNAcentral.